CCCGGACAAAAUUCCCCAAGCACUUUCCAAUUGUUUGUGCAGUUCAAGUCUGCAGACAUUUGCUCAUCUCCCGUCAGAACAGGAUCUGCACACGUGUUGACAUUUUCCAUCUGUUGCCCUCAUUGUUUUCCUUACUAAUAAUAACUUUGGAAAUGUGUGCGUUUCUAUCAAAUGGCGCAGCGGUCAAAGGCACUGCACAUCAGUGCUAGAGACGUCACUACAGACUCCCUGGUUCAAAUCCAGGCUGUAUCACAACUGGCUGUGAUUGGGAGUCCCAUAGGGCAGCGCACAAUUGGCCCAGCGUUGUCCGAGUUUGGCCGGUGUAGGCCAUCAUAGGUAAAUAAUAAUUAGUUGUUAAAUAAAACAUAUGACCAUGGUUUGUUCAUGUGGUCUAUUCAGCAUGGCUCUGUUCUGCCCUGCCUUGCCCCCUUGUGGAGCUCAAAAGUUACUUUCUUACUGUUAGAACUCAAAUCUGGGAUUUUGUCAAUGCAAUAAACUAUUUUUAUGUUA
Salmo salar (Atlantic salmon) is the source of this 510-nucleotide non-coding RNA. NCBI's taxonomy places the organism in Eukaryota, Metazoa, Chordata, Actinopteri, Salmoniformes, Salmonidae. The record is from RefSeq and is a predicted model, not a curated record.